UGGCUGCCGGGUGCCUUCUCUUCUUGAACCGCGCACGAUUUCUCCGUCUGGUGGGCAGCAGGCCGGGAAGGAAGAGAAAAAGGAGCAAACCGGUCGCGGAACGAGGCGAAACCUCUAGGACGAUAAUUAGCGAUCGAGGGUCCCGAGGAAGACUCGGGCCAUCUCGUUAUCCACGCCACGGCGCCCAGCGUGACGUCAUCGCGCGUGUGGAGACUGCCGCGAAGAGGGUAUAAGGUACGCGUCGCGUGCACACACGUAUGCGUUAAACAGGUGUGCAUGUACGAGACUCGCGCCAACAGUGGUAGAGAGGGAAUAUCUAUUGGGAGAAGAUGAAAGAGAGAAGAGGAGAAGUGGAAAUGAGGUAAAAAAAGAAAGAGAGAAGAACAGAAUCCGAAUACACAUCGGGACUCUUAGCGUAUACGUAGAGAACGGGAGAAUCCUACGCUUGUGUAAAGUAUUCAUUGGAAGGAAGAGGGGGAAGACGCGCCGAAGUAUUCCGAACUCGACCGAAAGGUUUCCCCCACUCGCGUCAACGAUUCAGUCGGAGCUUCGCUUUCGUGUUUCCUCGGUUGCCUUCAUGUCAGUACGUUCUCGGCCGAUGUUAGGGGUAGUUCGUCUCUCGAUACGACGACUCGCACGUGUAUCGUUUAUGCCGCGUCGUGUAUCUUGUCGUGCUUGUCGAACAGGAGCGUGCGCACGAAGGAAAAUAUUUGGAGAAAUCGUGUGUCCGGUAUCUUUGUGAAUCGUUGACGGGAAUGACUUGAACGUAAGGAAGACGCGCAUUGUGUGAUCUGCUACCGUGUGCAAGCUUCGAUUGCUCGUCGUGACACACGUUACCGUGCAUACGUUUACGGAGCUGAUUUAGUGGCGGGCAUCGGGUUGUGUAUAUGGUGUGUACACAGAACUCCAACGGACCGAGGUUAGCCGUCUGGUGGCGGGCAACUAGGCAGAAAAAAGAUAUAAAAUACACGGAAGAAGCGACGAGGUUUCGUGUAGAGAAGAGUGGUGAUUUCUGAACUCCGUAAUCGCAGUUAUUCCGUCUUCGUUUACCUGAUAAUGGAUUAAUUUUCGCCGGGGAAUUCACCCCGGCUACAGCCUGGUCUGGAGCAGAACACACAGCACCGCGGCAGCACUCAGCGAUAAAUCAAGCAAUUAUGUGUACAAUAAGCAAACCGACGAUAUCAGAAUGUCUCUUAUCUGGAAGAUCUUGGUUUCUAAAAUCGGAAUUGGAUACGUGCACUAAUCCAGAGAAAAAUUUACAACAAGAUUUAAAAAAUUUAAUAUAGCAGUACUGGAAUGGUAAUUAAGAUGUCAGUAAAAUAAAAGAAAUACAUAAUAUAAAAAUUAAGCAAACAAUAUGUAAUAAACAUUUCAAUAAUAUAUUCAAUUUUUUAUUUCAAUAAUUGCACAAGUUGAUGCAUAUGCAAACGUGAGUAUACUCAUGACCGGUCAACAACGUUUGUGCAUGAAAAUACGAGUACCUCGCGACCGGUCAACAAUGUGUUAACACAUCGCGAACCAGACGUUUUAUCGCUAGUUGUAUUUAGAGACCAGGUAUUUUUGUAGUGCUUCGUAUAUUUGAAUUACCUUUUAGAUAAAUGUACAGGAAAUUUAUUUAACAUUUUCGCAACUAUGAAUCCAUAUAUGUAUGUAUAUGGAUUUCUAAUGAAAUAUUUAAUCAUUGAAUGUAAAAAAAAGAU
Molecule: long non-coding RNA, 1700 nt
Filed under: Apis dorsata (giant honeybee)
Lineage: Eukaryota; Metazoa; Arthropoda; Insecta; Hymenoptera; Apidae
Description: uncharacterized LOC116185444
Source: RNAcentral